CAGAAACACUCAACGAAUAAGCGGAAGACCACGAGUUGCACUAGUGCCGGGGAUGUGACUAAAGUUAGUCUUACAAGUAUCACGAAACCCGAGGUUACUGUUGCUAAAAGAAUUGUUUUGAGCAAGGAUCCACUCACAAAAGUAGGGGGCAUGAACUUGGAAUUGGUUUCUGGGAAGUAUUAAUUCAUGUGGUAAUAGUACGGGAUGAGGUUUUGAUAAGACCCUAUGGACGAUAUAAAACAAUUGGGGAUGCUAUUGGAACGAGUAUUGUUUGGCCCUCUAUUUUGUGUAAGGUUUAAGAAGAGAUGGAUUGAGCUAAAUGAAAGGACCUCUCUCUCUCUCUUGUAAAUAUUUUAUAUUUUGUGCAUGAGUUCAGGAUUGAUGUGUGAUUGGUUUUGGAUAGAAAGUGUUUGACUCUAAUUUUGUAAUUUGGAUUGACUUAAGAUCCAAUGCAUAUGAUAGGUUGGGUUACUAACAACAAGUUAGCCAACAUGAUUUACUCUUGUUCUUAUCAAUUUUCUUUAUAACUCAAUGCAACUCUUGUUCUUUCUAUAUUUCUUUACAAGAUUAAUCGGAGGGCGUUUACCUUUUUUAGCGUGUUUUUUGAGGCAGUGUUAGAUGAUGGAAGCCAAGCGAAGGAGAACAACUACAUUUAUGUAAGUUUUGUUGUUGUUAUUCUUGGUACAUAUUUGUAGUAUUAUAAGUCUUAAGCUCCAUUUGGUCAUCACAUCAAUCUUGAUGAAUAUAAUUUUUCAUCAAACCAAAUGGAUCUUAAACACUUUUUUUAACU
Molecule: long non-coding RNA, 790 nt
Organism: Magnolia sinica
Lineage: Eukaryota; Viridiplantae; Streptophyta; Magnoliopsida; Magnoliales; Magnoliaceae
Exons: 3
Source: RefSeq, a predicted model, not a curated record